This 757-nucleotide ribosomal RNA is filed under the name uncultured bacterium. RNAcentral's name for it is "bacterial SSU rRNA". It matches the Rfam family "Bacterial small subunit ribosomal RNA", at positions 57 to 832 of the family's 1533-position model. The record is from RNAcentral.
GCAAGUCGAGCGAGAGGAGAAAGCUUGCUUUCAAUCUAGCGGCGGACGGGUGCGUAACGCGUGGGUAAUCUGCCCUUGUCAUUGGGAUAACUCAUCGAAAGGUGGGCUAAUACCAAAUAACAUGUUUUGUAGGCAUCUACGAAACAUCAAAGCUUUUGCGGACAAGGAUGAGCCCGCGUCUGAUUAGCUUGUUGGUGGGGUAACGGCCUACCAAGGCGACGAUCAGUAGCCGACCUGAGAGGGUGAUCGGCCACACUGGAACUGAGACACGGUCCAGACUCCUACGGGAGGCAGCAGUGGGGAAUAUUGCACAAUGGGCGAAAGCCUGAUGCAGCAACGCCGCGUGAGCGAUGAAGGCCUUCGGGUCGUAAAGCUCUGUCCUCAAGGAAGAAUUUUGACGGUACUUGAGGAGGAAGCCCCGGCUAACUACGUGCCAGCAGCCGCGGUAAUACGUAGGGGGCUAGCGUUAUCCGGAAUUACUGGGCGUAAAGGGUGCGUAGGUGGUCUGACAAGUCAGGGGUGAAAGGCUACGGCUCAACCGUAGUAAGCCCUUGAAACUGUCGGACUUGAGUGCAGGAGAGGAAAGUGGAAUUCCCAGUGUAGCGGUGAAAUGCGUAGAUAUUAGGAGGAACAUCCAUGGCGAAGGCAGCUUUCUGGACUGUUAUUGACACUGAGGCACGAAAGCGUGGGGAGCAAACAGGAUUAGAUACCCUGGUAGUCCACGCCGUAAACGAUGAGUACUAGGUGUCGGGGGUCG